GAUGAACGCUAGCUACAGGCUUAACACAUGCAAGUCGAGGGGAAACGACAUUGAAAGCUUGCUUUUGAUGGGCGUCGACCGGCGCACGGGUGAGUAACGCGUAUCCAACCUGCCCAUCACUUGGGAAUAACCUUGCGAAAGUAAGACUAAUACCCAAUGAUAUCCCCCGAAGGCAUCCGAAUGGGAUUAAAGAUUUAUCGGUGAUGGAUGGGGAUGCGUUUGAUUAGCUUGUUGGCGGGGUAACGGCCCCCCAAGGCAACGAUCAGUAGGGGUUUUGAGAGGAAGGUCCCCCCCCUUGGAACUGAGACCCGGUCCCAACUCCUACGGGAGGCAGCAGUGAGGAAUAUUGGUCAAUGGGCGAGAGCCUGAACCAGCCAAGUAGCGUGCAGGAAGGCGGCCCUAUGGGUUGUAAACUGCUUUUAUAAGGGAAUAAAGUGGGUCACGUGUGACUUUUUGCAUGUUCCAUAUGAAUAAGGACCGGCUAAUUCCGUGGUU
Molecule: ribosomal RNA, 495 nt
Filed under: uncultured bacterium
Lineage: Bacteria
Description: bacterial SSU rRNA
Rfam family: Bacterial small subunit ribosomal RNA
Source: RNAcentral